This 256-nucleotide ribosomal RNA is filed under the name uncultured bacterium. Its description in RNAcentral is "partial 16S ribosomal RNA". It matches the Rfam family "Bacterial small subunit ribosomal RNA", at positions 524 to 776 of the family's 1533-position model. The record is from RNAcentral.
GACGUAGGGGGCGAGCGUUAUCCGGAAUUAUUGGGCGUAAAGGGUGCGUAGGUGGCCUGACAAGUUAUCAGUGGCAAAUCGAGGCUCAACCUCGUGGAAACUGGUAAUACUGUUCGGCUUGAGUACAGGAGAGGUUAACGGAACUCUAUGUGGAGCGGUAAAAUGCACAGAUAUAUAGAAGAACAUCAAUAAAGGCGAAGGCAGUUAACUAUUCUGUUACUGACGCUGAGGCACGAAAGCGUGGGGAGCAAAACGG